RNAcentral lists this non-coding RNA (21 nucleotides) under Arabidopsis thaliana (thale cress). Lineage: Eukaryota; Viridiplantae; Streptophyta; Magnoliopsida; Brassicales; Brassicaceae. The record is from RNAcentral.
AUAGUUCUGGUGUACAUGUUC